UAACUGUCAUUAUAAAUUGGUUGUUUGGUGUGUGCCGACGCUGGAAAAGUAGUUAGUUGAGUUUCGUAAUAUUAUAUACUAAGUAUUUGUGAAGGCCCCGGCGAGAUUCGAACUCACGAUCUCCUGUUUACUAGACAGGCGCUUUAACCAACUAAGCCACGGCGCCAGUUCUUUACAUCUUAACAAAUGACAGAAUUUCAACACCAAUAUAAAAAUGUACAUACAAGCAUUAUCCACCACGAGAAUAGAACAAUGUGGUCAAUUUGGAAAUAAAUCCACCAUCAUUCAGACCGUACGAGAUUUCGUGCUAAAAAUAAUUCCGCGAAUACUUACAAACAUAUACAUAUGUGUAUGCAUGUUUAAUGAUAUACGUUCUCUGUCGCAGGCUUCAGUGAGUCAUGGUUUGUCAGAAAGUGAACCCCGAAGAAGAUGUUCUAUAGAUUAAAUUUCAAACUUUUAUGUGGUUCUAUUGCUUUUACCAAAUAAUAAGAAAAAUAUAUGUACAUGAACAUAUGAAAGCAGCAACGAGGUAUUUGCCUUGGAGAGUUUUUGAAUAU
Molecule: non-coding RNA, 557 nt
Organism: Bactrocera oleae (olive fruit fly)
Lineage: Eukaryota; Metazoa; Arthropoda; Insecta; Diptera; Tephritidae
Source: RefSeq, a predicted model, not a curated record